CGGGGUGUAGCGCAGCUUGGUAGCGCGGCGGUUUUGGGUACCGCAGGUCGCAGGUUCGAACCCUGCCACCCCGACCA
This 77-nucleotide transfer RNA is filed under the name Azospirillum sp. TSO5. Its description in RNAcentral is "tRNA-Pro". It matches the Rfam family "tRNA". From Rfam's summary of the family: Transfer RNA (tRNA) molecules are approximately 80 nucleotides in length. Their secondary structure includes four short double-helical elements and three loops (D, anti-codon, and T loops). RNAcentral also lists the same sequence under 1 other name. Lineage: Bacteria; Pseudomonadati; Pseudomonadota; Alphaproteobacteria; Rhodospirillales; Azospirillaceae. The record is from RNAcentral.